GACUCUGCAUCUGUCCAUAUAUUCUUCUCUCUUUACACACCACUACACUCUUCUUAUUUCGAAGACACGGUUGAACAUUAAUGAAGGGACAGAUGCAGUGUAGAAGUUUCGAACAGGUUGAGAGUUUGUCUAUCAUGCACUUGCAAUAGCCAUGUGGAAUUGCAGAAAUCGUAUGUAGGAUUCUCUCAGGUUCACAAAGGGCUUUACUUUGUUGAAAUGGAUAAGAAGCUAGCUUUUCAAUGCUAAAAACUGAAGGAUUUUCCAUUUACAUACCUCUCCAGAAGCAGUGUUGGAUGCUUUCUGUGGUUAGGCCUGAUGAACAUGAGA
This is a long non-coding RNA of Lycium ferocissimum, 327 nucleotides long. RefSeq lists it as uncharacterized. The record is from RefSeq and is a predicted model, not a curated record. The transcript is spliced from 3 exons. NCBI's taxonomy places the organism in Eukaryota, Viridiplantae, Streptophyta, Magnoliopsida, Solanales, Solanaceae.